This 429-nucleotide ribosomal RNA is filed under the name Bacteroidota bacterium. Its description in RNAcentral is "Bacteroidetes bacterium partial 16S ribosomal RNA". It matches the Rfam family "Bacterial small subunit ribosomal RNA", at positions 355 to 776 of the family's 1533-position model. The record is from RNAcentral. Lineage: Bacteria; Pseudomonadati; Bacteroidota.
UAGGGAAUCUUCCGCAAUGGGCGAAAGCCUGACGGAGCAACGCCGCGUGAGUGAUGAAGGUCUUCGGAUCGUAAAACCCUGUUAUUAGGGAAGAACAAAUGUGUAAGUAACUAUGCACGUCUUGACGGUACCUAAUCAGAAAGCCACGGCUAACUACGUGCCAGCAGCCGCGGUAAUACGUAGGUGGCAAGCGUUAUCCGGAAUUAUUGGGCGUAAAGCGCGCGUAGGCGGUUUUUUAAGUCUGAUGUGAAAGCCCACGGCUCAACCGUGGAGGGUCAUUGGAAACGGGAAAACUUGAGUGCAGAAGAGGAAAGUGGAAUUCCAUGUGUAGCGGUGAAAUGCGCAGAGAUAUGGAGGAACACCAGUGGCGAAGGCGACUUUCUGGUCUGUAACUGACGCUGAUGUGCGAAAGCGUGGGGAUCAAACAGG